GACGAACGCUGGCGGCGUGCUUAACACAUGCAAGUCGAACGGAAAGGCCCUGCUUGCAUGGUCCUCGAGUGGCGAACGGGUGAGUAACACGUGGGUGAUCUGCCCUGCACUUCGGGAUAAGCCUGGGAAACUGGGUCUAAUACCUGAUAGCAGCCAUUUUUAGUGUGAUGGUUGGAAGGUUUUUUCGGGGUUGGAUGAUCUGGCGGCCUAUCGGCUUGUUGGGGGGGUAAUGGCCUACCAAGGCGGCGAGGGGUAGCCGGCCAGAGAGUGUGGACGGCCACACUGGGACUGAGAGAAGGCCCAGACGGCGAAGGGAGGCAGAAGGGGGGAAGAUUGCACAAUGGGCGCAAGGCUGAUGAAGAGAGGCUGCGUGGGGGAUGACGGCCUUCGGGUGGAAAAAUACUUUCGGUAGGGACGAAGCUUGUUGUGACGGUACCUAGAUAAGAAGCACCGGCUAACUACGUG
Molecule: ribosomal RNA, 465 nt
Filed under: uncultured bacterium
Lineage: Bacteria
Description: partial 16S ribosomal RNA
Rfam family: Bacterial small subunit ribosomal RNA
Source: RNAcentral